This 149-nucleotide ribosomal RNA is filed under the name Cinnamomum burmanni. RNAcentral's name for it is "Cinnamomum burmannii 5.8S ribosomal RNA". It matches the Rfam family "5.8S ribosomal RNA". From Rfam's summary of the family: 5.8S ribosomal RNA (5.8S rRNA) is a component of the large subunit of the eukaryotic ribosome. It is transcribed by RNA polymerase I as part of the 45S precursor that also contains 18S and 28S rRNA. Lineage: Eukaryota; Viridiplantae; Streptophyta; Magnoliopsida; Laurales; Lauraceae. The record is from RNAcentral.
CGAGUCUCGGCAACGGAUAUUUUAGCUCUCGCAUUGAUGAAGAACGUAGCGAAAUGCGAUACUUGGUGUGAAUUCCAGAAUCCUGUGAACCAUUUACUCUUUCAACACAAGUUGCGCUUGAGGCCACUCAGCCGAGGGCACUCCUGCCU